Molecule: long non-coding RNA, 250 nt
Filed under: Solanum tuberosum (potato)
Lineage: Eukaryota; Viridiplantae; Streptophyta; Magnoliopsida; Solanales; Solanaceae
Description: long non-coding RNA (STUB_LNC001092)
Source: RNAcentral
CGGAUUUGUUUCGGAUUCAAUCGGUGAUGUCGGGUACAGUCAAGGAGGCUUUGCAAAGUUGGACUCAUAGGAUGGGAUAGAGAAGCCCUAGGGUAUGGAUUGCUGCCCCCUUAACAAUCAUGUGGAAAGGGAAAUAGGACAUUUGAUGGGGUGGAACAAGAUUUUGUAAAAUUGCAUAGGAAUGUUUUGUCUCUAGUUACUUUUUGGGGGACUUACGAGGUCCUUGUUUGUAUAGAGGAUAGAAUCUCUN